GGGUAAUUGGGGAUCCAUGUGCAAAUAGAGAAUCCGAAGCACAUUAUCAUGAAGUCCAGUCUUCUUAGAAGAUAACAGAAUACGCUCCAUUAUUGGAAAGACAAAGGUAAACGAAUCUACGGGAAGAGGUCCAGAUUUACAAGAGACAGAUAAUCCAUAAAUUAUUCUUUCAAAAAGACCCAUGGAUGGGCUUUCAUUGGCUUCCUC
This 207-nucleotide unclassified non-coding RNA is filed under the name Hevea brasiliensis (rubber tree). The record is from RNAcentral. Lineage: Eukaryota; Viridiplantae; Streptophyta; Magnoliopsida; Malpighiales; Euphorbiaceae.